UGAUCCUGCUGCUACGAGCGCUUUUGGUCACAUUAAAGAGUUUUCUCCACGUAUGUGGAGG
RNAcentral lists this small RNA (61 nucleotides) under Lactobacillus acidophilus. Its description in RNAcentral is "crRNA_09". The record is from RNAcentral. Lineage: Bacteria; Bacillati; Bacillota; Bacilli; Lactobacillales; Lactobacillaceae.